Ipomoea nil (Japanese morning glory) is the source of this 520-nucleotide long non-coding RNA. RefSeq lists it as uncharacterized. The record is from RefSeq and is a predicted model, not a curated record. NCBI's taxonomy places the organism in Eukaryota, Viridiplantae, Streptophyta, Magnoliopsida, Solanales, Convolvulaceae. The transcript is spliced from 3 exons.
GAAGUUGAAAAAGGAGCGGGGAAAUUCCGCUGCUAAUGUUGCAUAUACACCUGAGGCAUCUUCCAAAACGGUCAUGGUCUCUGCGGAUGAGUUUGCCAAGUUCUCUCAGUACCAAGAAUCCCUUAAACAUUCAUCCUCUUCGGUCACUGCUAUUGCUGACUCAGGUAAUACAACCACAUGCCUUCUCUCAUCCUCAUCCAAAUGGGUUAUAGAUUCGGGUGCUACAGAUCAUAUGACAGGAUCUUAUGACGAAGAGGGUUAUUGGUAAGGGGCGCGAGUCUGGAGGUCUCUACGUUCUUGACACAGCGAGGCCGGAGUCUGUUGCGUGUUCUAGUGCUGUCACUCCAGUUGAAGCACAUUGUCGUUUGGGGCAUCCUUCCCUUCCCUUGUUGAAGAAAUUGUGUCCGCGAUUUUCUAGUUUGUCUUUUUUACAUUGUGAGUCGUGUGAGUUUUCUAAGCACCAUCGUGUGCAUUUGAGUCCUAGAGUUCACAAAUGAGCGUCUGCCCCUUUUGAGUUAGU